UUUCAUUAUUAAUUCAUGUUUCAUUUUUCAGAGAACAUACCAAAACCCAGCGUUUUCUCUCACAAGUCAUUUUUCCCACCAUGAUUCGAUCUCAAUCUUUGCAUCAUUUACUUCAAUCUGUAACUAAUUUCUUCGAUCUAUAAGUAUUUUCUUUCUUUAAUCUCAACUAUGAGCCAUAUUUUUCUUGAAUCUUAAACUGUACCUUUUUGUAUUUCGUCUUGUAAUAGUAGAAAAAAGAUGGAAACCCAUUUUGUUUCCUCAUCAGUAAAGAAGAGUAACACAUAUAUCAACAGUGAAGACGUUUUUAAUCCCCUUUUAUUUCAUCAUCAGUAGUAUUAUCGGUGGAUUUCUCUAUGCCAAGCAUAUGGGUAAUGAUAUGUGGGAUGUGGCUAUUGAUAGAAGGUACACGAAGCUGGUUGAGAAAUUGCUAAUGUUGAUCAGUAUUAGCAGGUAAAGUUUGGGUACUCUAUGGGAUCACAUCCUUAUGUUAGAAAACCAUAUGAUUUCUGUACUUGUGCAAUAUACAUGUGCAAAUGUAUAGCUUGGCACGUGCUUUCAGCUAAGAUUUGACGACUUAAACCAUCACAUUGAAUGGGACCAACCUGCUGUGUUUGUUCAUGUCAAGUAUGCCAUUUCAACCAAGAUGGAAGUGCUGAAUUUGAGUCUAAGAGGCCCUAAUUACUCAUCUCUUCCUUUUGCUAAGUAUUAAUAUCUCAAGAAUAUGGAGCGCAUAAUCUUGUUGAGCUUAUUCACUUCAAACUGUUUUGUAAAGAUGGACAUAGGAGAAUGACCUGGGCUGCUUAUGAUUUAUGUUUUCCCUUAAUUGUAAAUUGUGUAUCAGAAAGAUCAGAUUGCAAUUAUGUUUCAGGUUUAAA
Molecule: long non-coding RNA, 875 nt
Organism: Papaver somniferum (opium poppy)
Lineage: Eukaryota; Viridiplantae; Streptophyta; Magnoliopsida; Ranunculales; Papaveraceae
Exons: 7
Source: RefSeq, a predicted model, not a curated record